UCGAGAAUCUUCGGCAAUGGGCGCAAGCCUGACCGAGCGACGCCGCGUGGAGGAUGAAGGCCUUCGGGUUGUAAACUCCUGUCGAGGGGGAGGAAGGCGCAAGCUUGACCGAUCCCUGGAGGAAGCACGGGCUAAGUUCGUGCCAGCAGCCGCGGUAAGACGAACCGUGCGAACGUUAUUCGGAAUCACUGGGCUUAAAGCGCGUGUAGGCGGAUGGGAACGUCGGUAGUUGAAAGCCCCCGGCUCAACCGGGGAAGUGGUGCCGAAACGACCCGUCUGGAGGGACGUAGGGGGACCUGGAACUUCCGGUGGAGCGGUGAAAUGCGUUGAGAUCGGAAGGAACGCCCGUGGCGAAAGCGAGGUCCUGGACGUCUACUGACGCUGAGACGCGAAAGCUAGGGGAGCAAACG
This 410-nucleotide ribosomal RNA is filed under the name uncultured bacterium. RNAcentral's name for it is "bacterial SSU rRNA". It matches the Rfam family "Bacterial small subunit ribosomal RNA", at positions 355 to 774 of the family's 1533-position model. The record is from RNAcentral.